This 777-nucleotide ribosomal RNA is filed under the name uncultured Neocallimastigales. Its description in RNAcentral is "partial large subunit ribosomal RNA". It matches the Rfam family "Eukaryotic large subunit ribosomal RNA", at positions 26 to 632 of the family's 3401-position model. Lineage: Eukaryota; Fungi; Neocallimastigomycota; Neocallimastigomycetes; Neocallimastigales. The record is from RNAcentral.
CGUCUAUAUACGUAUAGCAUAUCAAUAAGCGGAGGAAAAGAAACUAACUAGGAUUCCCUCAGUAACGGCGAGUGAAGCGGGAAGAGCUCAAAUUUGAAAUCUUCAAGGUUCUACCUUGACGAAUUGUAGUUUAAAGAAGUGUUUUCUGUUGGAGUUUUGGUAAAAGUUCUUUGGAAUAGGACAUCAUAGAGGGUGAGAAUCCCGUAUUUGACCAUUAUUUCCAACUUUGUGAUACACUUUCAAAGAGUCGGAUUGUUUGGGAAUGCAGUCCAAAAUGGGUGGUAAAUUUCAUCUAAAGCUAAAUACUGGCGAGAGACCGAUAGCGAACAAGUACCGUGAGGGAAAGAUGAAAAGAACUUUGAAAAGAGAGUUAAAGCAGUACGUGAAAUUGUCAAAAGGGAAGCGUUUGACACCAGUGUUGUUUUCUCGAAAAUCAAUUAAAAAUGGCGGGAUGUUGUGUUGUAUUGACUUUAUCAGCUUUCUGCACUUUUUUCCUUAGUCUUUUUUAAUGCACUUUUCGUUUAACAAGUCAACAUCAAUUUCUUUUGUUGUAAAAGGGUCAUUGGAAGGUGGCUUUCUUUUCGGAGAAAGUGUUUAUAGCCUUUGGCCUCUGCAAUCGGAGAGAUUGAGGUCUGCAGCGUAGAUCCUUCGGGGUUAGAUGCAUUUGUGCUAAGCUAUAGCCUUUCAUAGACAACUUGUUGACUAUGAUCAGUCAUGUAGCUUACUCGCUUAUGCUAUUUUACCUACGCUUAGGAUGUUGAUCUGUAGUGCGUGCGC